ACGAACCGAGCGAACGUUGUUCGGAAUCACUGGGCUUAAAGGGCGCGUAGGCGGAUCAGCAAGUCCGGGGUGAAAUCUUUCGGCUCAACCGGAAAAGGGCCUUGGAUACUGCUGGUCUGGAGGGAGGUAGGGGCAGCUGGAACUUCCGGUGGAGCGGUGAAAUGCGUUGAUAUCGGAAGGAACUCCGGUGGCGAAGGCGAGCUGCUGGACCUCUUCUGACGCUGAGGCGCGAAAGCUAGGGGAGCAAACGGGA
This 253-nucleotide ribosomal RNA is filed under the name uncultured prokaryote. RNAcentral's name for it is "partial 16S ribosomal RNA". It matches the Rfam family "Bacterial small subunit ribosomal RNA", at positions 525 to 777 of the family's 1533-position model. The record is from RNAcentral.